UACGUAGGGAGCAAGCGUUGUUCGGAUUUACUGGGCGUAAAGGGCGCGUAGGCGGCAAUUCAAGUCACUUGUGAAAUCUCCGGGCUUAACUCGGAACGGUCAAGUGAUACUGCUUUGCUAGAGUGCGGAAGGGGCAAUCGGAAUUCUCGGUGUAGCGGUGAAAUGCGUAGAUAUCGAGAGGAACACCUGAGGUGAAGACGGGUUGCUGGGCCGACGCUGACGCUGACAGCGCGAAAGCCAGGGGAGCAAACGGG
Molecule: ribosomal RNA, 254 nt
Filed under: uncultured bacterium
Lineage: Bacteria
Description: partial 16S ribosomal RNA
Rfam family: Bacterial small subunit ribosomal RNA
Source: RNAcentral